This 405-nucleotide unclassified non-coding RNA is filed under the name soil metagenome. RNAcentral's name for it is "partial contains 5.8S ribosomal RNA, internal transcribed spacer 2, and large subunit ribosomal RNA". The stretch from base 1 to 120 matches the Rfam family "5.8S ribosomal RNA", at positions 35 to 154 of the family's 154-position model. The record is from RNAcentral.
GAUGAAGACGCAGCGAAAUGCGAUAAGUAGUGUGAAUUGCAGAAUUCAGUGAAUCAUCGAAUCUUUGAACGCACCUUGCGCCCUUUGGCUAUUCCGAAGGGCAUGCCUGUUUGAGUAUCAUGAACACCUCAACUCUCAUGGUUUUUCCAUGAUGGGCUUGGACUUUGGGGGUCUUGCUGGCCUAUAGUCAGCUCCUCUUAAAUGAAUCAGCUUGCCAGUGUUUGGUGGCAUCACAGGUGUGAUAACUAUCUACGCUUGUGGUUUCCAUCAAGUCACCUUCAGCGAUGGAGGUUCGCUGGGGCUCAUAAAGAAGGCCUCUCCUCGGUGAGGAUGGCUCCUUUGAACGUUUGAUCUCAAAUCAGGUAGGACUACCCGCUGAACUUAAGCAUAUCAAUAAGCGGAGGA